GAUGAAUGCUGGCGGCGUGCCUAAUCCAUGCAAGUCGAGCGAACGGACGAGAAGCUUGCUUCUCUGAUGUUAGCUGCGCACGUCUGAGUAACACGUGGAUACCCUACCUAUUAGACUCGUAUUACCUCGGGGCUCCGGAUCUCCUCCCCUAGCACCUUCUGAACUGCACGCCUCCAACGCGCACGACGGUCUUGCUGUCACUUUGCGAUCGAUCUGCGCUGCAUUAGCUAGUUGGUAAGGUAACGGCUUACCAAGGCAACGAUGCAUAGCCGACCUGAGAGGGUGAUCGGCCACACUAGAACUGAGACACGGUCGAGACGCCUACGGGAGGCAGCCGUAGGGAAUCUUCCGCACUGGGCGACAGCCUGACGGAGCGACGCCGCGUGAGUGGUGAAGGUCCUCGGAUCGUAAAACUCUGUUAUUAGGGAAGAACAUAUGUGUAAGUCACCGUGCACAUCCUGACGGUACCUAGUAAGAAAGCAACGGCUACCCACGAG
Molecule: ribosomal RNA, 497 nt
Filed under: uncultured bacterium
Lineage: Bacteria
Description: partial 16S ribosomal RNA
Rfam family: Bacterial small subunit ribosomal RNA
Source: RNAcentral